AAAAAAGGGAAAGUUAAAAAAACAUAAAAGGAAAAAAUGAAAUUGUUAAAAACGAAAAAAAUAUGAAGAUCGAAUGUAUACAUUGACCUAAAUUUUUUGUUUGAAAUGAUGAUUUAACGUGCUAUGUUAGCUUAUCAUUAUAGUGUUAAUGAUAAUUAAUGGCUUAGUGAUUAAAAUGUUACAACGCGAUAAUGUAAAUGACUAAAAUGUAACAUUUCAAAUAUAAGUGGCUAAAAUAUAACCUUGGAUAAAGAGAACUGACUAUUUUGGUUUGUUAGUUGGGUAUUUGUUGAAACAAGGGCAGCAAGCAUAAGCAAAACAAAAACAGCAAGCAGAGAAAAAAGAAAAACGUUGACAAGAAUUGUAACUGAAGGAAUUCAACAUUAACCUUGUAUUCAAAUUGAAAUAUAUUGAAGUUACAAUAUUUGCUUGACAGUUACCUAAACAAUUAACUACUCCCACUAAUUGACUAAUUUCAAACUUAAGAGAUACACAAAAGGAAAGCUGAAAACGUCAACUAUUACAUCCAUCAUAAUCAAAAGAUUUACUAACUUUGAUGUCAAGUUACAAACCAAC
This 576-nucleotide long non-coding RNA is filed under the name Gossypium raimondii (Peruvian cotton). RNAcentral's name for it is "long non-coding RNA (GRAI_LNC010569)". Lineage: Eukaryota; Viridiplantae; Streptophyta; Magnoliopsida; Malvales; Malvaceae. The record is from RNAcentral.